RNAcentral lists this ribosomal RNA (429 nucleotides) under Actinomycetes bacterium. Its description in RNAcentral is "Actinobacteria bacterium partial 16S ribosomal RNA". It matches the Rfam family "Bacterial small subunit ribosomal RNA", at positions 355 to 776 of the family's 1533-position model. Lineage: Bacteria; Bacillati; Actinomycetota; Actinomycetes. The record is from RNAcentral.
UAGGGAAUCUUCCGCAAUGGGCGAAAGCCUGACGGAGCAACGCCGCGUGAGUGAUGAAGGUCUUCGGAUCGUAAAACUCUGUUAUUAGGGAAGAACAAAUGUGUAAGUAACUAUGCACGUCUUGACGGUACCUAAUCAGAAAGCCACGGCUAACUACGUGCCAGCAGCCGCGGUAAUACGUAGGUGGCAAGCGUUAUCCGGAAUUAUUGGGCGUAAAGCGCGCGUAGGCGGUUUUUUAAGUCUGAUGUGAAAGCCCACGGCUCAACCGUGGAGGGUCAUUGGAAACUGGAAAACUUGAGUGCAGAAGAGGAAAGUGGAAUUCCAUGUGUAGCGGUGAAAUGCGCAGAGAUAUGGAGGAACACCAGUGGCGAAGGCGACUUUCUGGUCUGUAACUGACGCUGAUGUGCGAAAGCGUGGGGAUCAAAAAGG